This is a long non-coding RNA of Gasterosteus aculeatus aculeatus (three-spined stickleback), 1258 nucleotides long. Lineage: Eukaryota; Metazoa; Chordata; Actinopteri; Perciformes; Gasterosteidae. The record is from Ensembl.
CACACGUCUGUUCACAUCUGCUGCUCUGCAACAGCAGCAAAAAAGCCGACUCGUCGCUGGACGCACGAGGCCACCAGGUUUGUUACACUGAAGUGGAAGAGAGCUGAAUGAGUCAAAGAGGAACAGUUCUAAUGGCGGCUUUGUGGCUGCGUGGAGGAUGAGUGCAGCAAGGGCGAGGCUGUUGCGGGUAAAAGGCUCUUUGGACAGCGUCUCUUCAUCACCGCCCACAGCUGCUGUUGACUCAAGCGCCCAGGAAUCUCCUCCACGGGUUCACACCCUCCUAACCAGCCAGCCGCACACCAGAGAGCGAGCAAAAGGUCCUGCAAGACCUCAAGGUCUCCAGGAUGCAACAUUUGCUCUGGCAGCGGUCAGCAUAGGUCAGAGGAGGACCGCCGUUAGAGAAGAUUCGUUACCUCAACAGGAUGCUCAUUUCUAGCCUCGUCUCCUUGGCAACUAAAGACACAUCACAACAUGUCUUAUAAUUGAAGUCAAACUCUACGUAGUUUUCUCUCUGCAAUGUUCCAUCUGUCAAACAGCUAAGAGCCCGUUGGUUCACAUACAUGACACGAGUAACACGGACUAGAAGCUUCCUGUCAAAGGGAAAACAAAACAGUGGCUUCAGUCGCACAAAGGAUCCGUCCUUCAUCUCAACCGCUCAGGAAUGUCUUCACAGCCUCCUGCUCAGCCGGCCGCACCGCGGCACACGGAGCCCCGAAGGCCGGCGAGGCCACACGCUGCAAACGGUUACGUGUCACAAAACAGACACUGACCCGCUGAAGUCAAUCAACUUCACAGGGGAACCGAAUGGAGGAGACUGUAAUCUUUGAGAUAAGAAAAUGAGUCACAUAUUUGACUUUUACAGCAUCUUUUAUCCGGACAGUUUCCACUCACACAAACACACACGUUGUGUGUCUGUCAGGGCUGCAAAUCCUGCGUACACAACCCCUGCUGUUUGUUUAUCUCCACUGAGGCUCACCAGAUGUGUGGAGAUGCAGCGGAUAACUCGGGUCAUGUAGUCACGAGUUACCGUUUACUUUGCAACAACAUCGAAACCACAAAUUCCUCCUCUGGAUUUUGCUGCUCUGGACUUCUCUCCUUCUCUUCCCACAACUCAUGAAAACCUUGUUCCUGUGAUGCUACGUUGGUCAAAAUAUCCAACACAUGAGGAGGAAGGAGGUCAAUUCUGUUUUUUUUCCUGAUUUUCUUUCAAUUAAAUGUUUCUAUCUGUUGUGUAAAGUGGUCAAAUGAAGCAAUACGG